GUGAAAUUGUUGAAAGGGAAGCGCUUGCAACCAGACCUGCCUGCAGUUGCUCAUCCGUGGCUUUUGCCCGGUGCACUCUUCUGCUGUCAGGCCAGCAUCAGUUCGGGCGGUCGGAUAAAGGCUUCGGGAAUGUAGCUCCUCUCGGGGAGUGUUAUAGCCCGUUGCGAAAUGCGGCCAGCCUGGACUGAGGUCCGCGCUUCGGCUAGGAUGCUGGCGUAAUGGUUGUAAGCGGCCCGUCUUGAAACACGGACCAAGGAGUCUAACAUCUGUGCGAGUGUUUGGGUGUUAAACCCGUACGCGUAAUGAAAGUGAACGGAGGCGGGAACCCCUCGGGGUGCACCGUCGACCGAUCCUGAUGUCUUCGGAUGGAUUUGAGUAAGAGCAUAGCUGUUGGGACCCGAAAGAUGGUGAACUAUGCCUGAAUAGGGUGAAGCCAGAGGAAACUCUGGUGGAGGCUCGCAGCGGUUCUGACGUGCAAAUCGAUCGUCAAAUUUGGGCAUAGGGGCGAAAGACUAAUCGAACUAUCUAGUAGCUGGUUCCUGCCGAAGUUUCCCUCAGGAUAGCAGUAACGUUUUCAGUUUUAUGAGGUAAAGCGAAUGAUUAGAGGCCUGGGGGUUGAAACAACCUUCACCUAUUCUCAAACUUUAAAUAUGUAAGAAGUCCUUGUUGCUCAGUUGAACGUGGACAUUUGAAUGUAUCGUUACUAGUGGGCCAUUUUUGGUAAGCAGAACUGGCGAUGCGG
Molecule: ribosomal RNA, 742 nt
Filed under: uncultured Ascomycota
Lineage: Eukaryota; Fungi; Ascomycota
Description: LSU rRNA
Rfam family: Eukaryotic large subunit ribosomal RNA
Source: RNAcentral